Molecule: non-coding RNA, 473 nt
Filed under: Pongo abelii (Sumatran orangutan)
Lineage: Eukaryota; Metazoa; Chordata; Mammalia; Primates; Hominidae
Source: RNAcentral
GGGCCGGGGGCGGGAACCGGCUCGGAUGCUCAGGGACGGUGGGGGUGGCAGGGCCCGCCGCCCUGAGGCUGCCUUUCCGCGCAUUCCCUCGUUUAUUGGCUCACUCUUCCUUUCAUCCAUCCUCCUUUGCGCAGCAAUAUUUGAUGGGAAGCCUGCCAAGGAAUUAAAUUUUGUUCAGACAUCCACUGUUCACCUUCUCAGCCCCUGUUUGCCUGUAACUACAAAGCAGUUUUCAAAUUACUCCAUUUGAUUCUCACAAGAACACCGUAAAUGGAAAAGACUAGAAUUGCCCUGAGUUCACAGAUUGGUCAUUGAGGUCAAAGAAAUCAAGUGACUUCUGGAGGCCACACAGCUAAUAAACAGCAAGGCAACGACUUGAACCCAGGUCUUCUGGUUCCAGGGAGAAAGACACGUGGGCAAGAGAAUACCAUGUGGAGACACAGAUACACGAGGGGAGGAUGCCUGCUGACCAU